UACCGCCACCCUUGAAUUCCCUUCUCUCUCAAACACUCUCUGCAACACCCCUAAACCCUAGCCGUCGCCUCCCUAAUCCACCCCAAUCCUUGGCUUUCCGGGGUCAUCUGAGACCUUUACCAGCCUUCCAUAGCUUCUAUGUGUCUGGGUAUGUGGUCUCAUGACCAGACUUUAAAGGGAUUAGAUCUAGUACUUGCUCGAUGACCUUUCUCCGGUCAUCCCUGACCUUUCUCCGGCCAGCCAUGGCCAUUUGAGUCACACCUUUGACUCUUCUGUUUAGAUCUGUAACUCUGAAGGCCUUUCUCGUUGUUUUUGGGUUCUUCUGAAACCCUUAUCUCUUAGACUUUUCAAUUUCUUUCAGAUCUACCUUAGAACCAUGCUUUCCAUGAGUUAUUAAGCAUCUUCUCGAAGUUUUUUAACUUCGCUUUCAAAACGAUCCUUCAUCUUUUGCGAUUAGGGUUCCUCUUCUAAAUUAUUUAAAACCUCC
RNAcentral lists this long non-coding RNA (487 nucleotides) under Nicotiana benthamiana. RNAcentral's name for it is "long non-coding RNA (NBEN_LNC039053)". The record is from RNAcentral. Lineage: Eukaryota; Viridiplantae; Streptophyta; Magnoliopsida; Solanales; Solanaceae.